Molecule: ribosomal RNA, 238 nt
Filed under: uncultured bacterium
Lineage: Bacteria
Description: partial 16S ribosomal RNA
Rfam family: Bacterial small subunit ribosomal RNA
Source: RNAcentral
AAUCCUGGCUCAGGACGAACGCUGGCGGCGCGCCUAACACAUGCAAGUCGAACGAGAGAUGAGGAGCUUGCUCUUCAAAUCGAGUGGCGAACGGGUGAGUAACGCGUGAGGAACCUGCCUCAAAGAGGGGGACAACAGUUGGAAACGACUGCUAAUACCGCAUAAGCCCACGGCUCGGCAUCGAGCAGAGGGAAAAGGAGCAAUCCGCUUUGAGAUGGCCUCGCGUCCGAUUAGCUAG